This is a non-coding RNA of Cronobacter sp., 116 nucleotides long. The record is from Rfam. NCBI's taxonomy places the organism in Bacteria, Pseudomonadati, Pseudomonadota, Gammaproteobacteria, Enterobacterales, Enterobacteriaceae.
CCUGGCGGCCGUAGCGCGGUGGUCCCACCUGACCCCAUGCCGAACUCAGAAGUGAAACGCCGUAGCGCCGAUGGUAGUGUGGGGCCUCCCCAUGCGAGAGUAGGGAACUGCCAGGC